GCUUUCCCCAAACCCUAUAUGCUCAGAGCCAUUGAUUUCUGACCUGUCAGGAACAAUGGUAUUUCUUUACUUGCGUGGCCUCUGCUGUCCUUGGUAUCAUCCUCCUUAUUAUUUUACUACUAUACGUCUUCAUCCAGUACUUUGUGAAACCAGAGGAACUCCGCACAGACCUCCGAUUUGAAAACUGUCCUCACAACAUAUGGCUGACGUUCCUCCCUUGGCUUCCAGUGCAGACAUCUCCCAUUGUGCUCCUGACGAUAGCUGUGGUCAC
RNAcentral lists this long non-coding RNA (271 nucleotides) under Vombatus ursinus (common wombat). RNAcentral's name for it is "lncRNA (ENSVURG00010021771.1)". The record is from RNAcentral. Lineage: Eukaryota; Metazoa; Chordata; Mammalia; Diprotodontia; Vombatidae.